This 23-nucleotide non-coding RNA is filed under the name Rattus norvegicus (Norway rat). The record is from RNAcentral. Lineage: Eukaryota; Metazoa; Chordata; Mammalia; Rodentia; Muridae.
UUGUAAAUUUGGAGGUGCAAUCC